Molecule: long non-coding RNA, 4305 nt
Organism: Oreochromis niloticus (Nile tilapia)
Lineage: Eukaryota; Metazoa; Chordata; Actinopteri; Cichliformes; Cichlidae
Source: Ensembl
AUGUGCAAGAGUCUGCCAAUAAAAAUCGAUCUCUUCUGCUCUAAUUCACACACUAGCUCAGGUCGAUAUAGCCUGCCUCUCUCUCUCCCCGCUGCUCUCCUUCUCUCUAUCUCUCUCCAUCACAUGCACGUACGCUCGCGGCAGCCGCCAGCUUGUAUGCGUCCCUCCUCGCGCCAGAGAGUGGCCGCCUGGCUGCUCGCGCUGCCGUUGGGGAGAGGUGGAGAGGAAUGUGCGCGCCGCGGCCGACUGGAGAUGAUCUCGUUUUGGCUGCUGUGCUGGAAGCUGUUGAGAGCUACAACUGGGCUAAGGAGGACAACACCUGAGCUAACAGACGCUAACCACGACAACGGUAGCUCCAGCAGCAAUAACCCCGUCUGCCCUCCCUCUCCCCCACUGCUAGUCAGUCCAGUUACCAUGGAGAUGAGCUCAUCAGCACCACUAACAGACGGAGGAGAGAGCCUUUUUAGUUGCCACAACCAGGAAGAGGACGAACUAGGUUUUCCUGGGGUCCAUAGGGUGGAAGACAAGGCUGUAGGAGGAGAAAAUAGGAAAGGAGAUGAGUGUGACUAUCUCAUUUUUGAGAUGGGAGAUGAGAAAGGAAGAGAGGUCAGUGAAAGUGAAAGAGGAGAGGAUGAAGGGAGUGGGGAGAUAGAGGGAGAAGAAGAAGAGAGGGGAAAAACAGAAGGAGAAAUCGAAAGAAGAGAAAUAGAGACAGAGGAUGAAGACAGAGGGAGAUUCAAGGGAGAAGAUGGAAAUGAAAGAGAAACAGAGAGUGAUAGCUGGGAAAGAAGAGAGAUAGAGGGAGACGAUGAAACCAGAGAGAGUACAGAGGGUGGGGAGGUAGGGGGUGGAGAAGAGGGAGAAGACCCAGGAGCAAAAGACACAAAAGAAGAGGAUCGCUGGAUCAGAGGAAUAGAGGAAGAGGCAAAAGAAGAUGUCUUUUCAGAUCUCCUCUUCCCCUCAGACAGUCUGCUGCAUCCUUCACCAUCUGAGCCACUAGGUGCCACCUCAGAUCCUCUGGAGGCCGUGCCACAAGAAGUUUGGGGUCCCGACUUCACCAUCAGGGAUGACCUGAGUGACAGCCACCUCAGUGACUGCCUCCAAGCAGAGCGUGUCAUCGUGUACUCAGACAGCGAUGCAGGUGAGGACCAGUGGUCAGCUUUUGCCCCCUCUGACAUCACCAGCCAGAUCGAAGAAGAGAGGAAGAAAGAUGUAACAUUUGAAGAAGAGGAGAAGGUCAAAGGAGAGGAAGAAGACAAUGAAGUCAAAGCAGAUGCAAAAAAACAAGAGCAGAAGAGAGAGGUGGAGGUGGAGGAAUACAGGGUGGGAAGAAAGGAUGAUGAUGAAGACCAGAUGAGGUUGAGGAGAGAUCUUUUCCUACGGUCUCCUUCAGUAAGCUCCACAGCGAGCUCCACGGACCCCGACAAGAAGGUGAGUUUGCUGUUUGUAUGUAGCCUGAUGGCAGAGACACGGGGAUGUUCUUUUGUGCUUUUAACUUGGUUCAACACUUUUCAUCAGACAUUUAACAGAGAUGAAUUAUAACAACAAAAAUGUUUGCCAAACUUUUUUGACAUUUUUUGACAAAAAUAAAAGCAAGUAAGCUACCCCUAACUUAAGCUAUCUCCAAAAAGAAAAGCCUAGACUUAAACCAGAACAGAUAUACGCACACAUGGGGCUUUAUAAACUCUGGUCUUAACAGAGUACCUGUCAGUUAGCCAACGGUGGAUGGAGCUGUGUCUCUGUCACUCAUCUGUUACAGUUUCUGACACUUUUCAUCUGUACCACUCAAAACUGUACUAUCAGUGUCUGACAGAGGGAGCUGCAGCAUGUGCAUGAUUGUAAGAGCCUUGAGCCCAUCACCCAGCAUUAGCACUCGCAGUUUGCAUCAGAGUUCUAGGACAUUAAUUCAAGCAUCAACUAAAGUGAACUAUGUAGUUAUAGCACAGACAGAUCUCAGAAGUAUUCAUUGCUGUAUUAUAACAAAACAUGUUCAUUUUAACAAGAAAAGGAAAUAAAGAUCAUCGCUUCCACCUUGUGCCCAAACUGUGCAAUCAUAGCUGAAAGUGAUAGCAUAGCCCACUCAAAGGUGACAUGAAAAGGCUAAUUUACACUGUGGAUCCCUGCACUCAAAUACUGUCAUAGGUUUAACACUGACUAUGAAGCUGGGUUUAAAAAUAUGUGUUUGAGGUUUUUAGAACAAGUUUAGUGCCGUCUUGUACCAAUACAGAACGUGAUGUCACUGAGUUGGUUGGUUGCUGCUAAUAGACUUAGAUUAGUUUCUGUUAGCUAACUAGUAACAGAACCAUUAUCUCAUUAAAACUAAAAAUCAGUUUAUAUCUAUAUCAGUUUUAUACGAAACCAAGGACACAUUGUCCAUUUCUCUCUGUCCUGUAGGGAUUUUAUGAGAGAGAAGACAAAUAUGUUGUACGUUUUCACAAUUUUCUAUGAAAACGGUUAAAGUUUCAAAUGAGUUUCACAUGGUGCCAUGGACUCUGUGUGUGUCUCAGUGUCUCUGGCUCAGAGACAAAAGGCUGCGUGUCUCUCUGCUUGCUCAGGAGACACAAACAAACAAACAGCCCCACACCCAGACAGUAAUGCUUUUAUUAUGUGUGAUAAACAGGACUCUAAGGUAGGGAUGUGUACCGAUAUGGCACCGGUUCUGACAUAAACGGUAGUAACCAGACCGAAAAGCAGCGCACAUUUUGGUGCUUUAUUUUGGUGCUUUUUAAAAAAUUUUUCAUGAGAUGUCAUACACUUUGGAUUUUAGCCAAUCAUUUUACCUUUACAAGCAUAGUAGGCGGGCCCAGGUACGUACGUUCUUUUAGAGCAGAGCUACAGAUUAAAAAUGCCCAAGGCGAAGCGGUCAAAAGUCUGGCUGUACUUCACAGCAAAAGAUGCAAACUCAGCAGCCUGCAACAAGUGCUUUAAGCCCCACGCCCCCGGUACUGCGAGCAAAAAGGAGGAGAUCACGUUUAAUCGGUUAUAACACGGGGUGAGAAAUAUAAGUCCAGACAUGUGUGGUAUCCACAGAAACCUCUGAAUCUCAGCUAAAAUGUCAUAUAAACCAUUUCUACAACCACCAAACUCAACGAAAACAAGCCAUGAUUAAACGAGCAGUUAUGUAAAUGCGCUCAAGUCCGCUAAACAAACAAGGCGAACCAGAAAUUCUCCAGACUUCAUGUAACCGUCUAAAGAAAAGCUGGUUAUCUUCCAGAGCUAUCACUAAUUCCAAACACCAAGUUUCACCACACUCUGACCAAAAUUCACUGAAUGAGCCACAAAAGAAGACCACAAAAGCACACAGCGGCGUAAAUGUGCUAAGACAGAAAUUGGCUUACCGUCCAGAUUUCCUCCGAUAUUUCGCCGGUAGCCGGUAGCCGGUAGCCACAUGAUUAUCAGCAGUUACCACGCCUACCUAGCCGCAUCAGAGCCGUUUUCUGUCAACAACCUCCAUUUUAGACCCACCUAUAGACACGUGACUGGACAGACGUCAUAUGCAGUAAAUUUGGGCCCACGUGGGUUUUGGCCUUGGAACGUCUGAUUGGUUGAAGUAACGUGAACGUGGCAUCGUUACAAUUCAAUUCAAUUCAAUUCAAUUCAAUUUCUUUAUUGUCCCACAAGGGGAAAUUAGUUUAGCAGGAGGAUAAAAAUAAACAGAACAAUACUAUAAAAUAAUAAUAACAAUAAUAACUAGAAAAAUUUGCAUUUCCUGCGAAAAUGCAGUGUGGAUGCUUUAAAGCUGAAGCUGUCUGCUGAAACUAGCUGAAAAAGCUGAAAAGUUGCAGAAAUUGUAAAAACUUUGCAGAAGCAAAGGAACUUUGCUAAAAUGGAAUAACUUAGCAGAACUGCAAUAUCUUAGAGGAAACAUAAUACUUGGCAGAAUACAAUAGCAUAGCAGAACUUAGCAGAAAUAUUACAACUUACCAGAAACAUUAUAACUUCUCAAAAAUACAAGACUUUAGGAGAAAUAGUAUAAGAUAACAGAAAGAAUAUAUUUAGCCAAACAUUCUUGAACAUUACAGAAAUACUAUGAUUUAGAAAAGCAGUACAACAUAGCAGAAAUGCUGCAAUUUACCAGAGACACUGCAAUAUACUAUGAAUAUUGUAAUUUUAUAUAAAUACUAUGUUUUAGCAAAAAUACUCCAGUUUAGCACAAAUAUUAUAACAUAGCAGAAAUACUAUUCUAUAGCAGAAAUGCUAUAUUUAGAAAGAAAAAUAUAAUAUAGUAGAAAUACUAUGAUUUAGCAGAAAUCCUACAAUAUAGCUUAAUAACAAUGAUUUAGAACAGAUACUAUGAUUGAGCAG